ACCCUGUCACAACGGCUUCCUGGCGUGGCGGGCACAUUAAAUGGAGCA
The sequence is a regulatory RNA element, 48 nucleotides long. It matches the Rfam family "SAM/SAH riboswitch aptamer". The record is from Rfam.